CCUGCUCGUCGCCGCCCAUCGCCUUCCCCUCUAGGCCUGCGCCACCCCGGCCCCAAACUCGCUUGCCGCCGCCAUCUUCGGACAGGAUACAUGCGGCGGUGAGGAGGACAAGAAUCCGGUAGAGGAGGGGAAGAAUCUGUCUGAGGAGGUGGACAAGAAUCAACAGAGGAAGGGGAUAAGCUCGCACAUUUUCUGCCAUGUUGCACAAUAUCAUUCAGAGAUCGGACUAAACAUUUGGUAAUUGCGAAGUAUUUCCUGCGUAACCUGCAAUCAAUGUGGUGCACUCCUAGUCUGAUGCUACAACGGUGAGUGUAAGCUAGACAUGUUUUUCUGAACUUGUGUGAGUAUGUGCUUAGGUACCGGUGUUUUUAUCUAUAACACAUAGUUGUGAAUCCUCUGAGAUUGAUUGAUGGUGUUUUCACCCGAGCUACUCUGUCAUGUUUGUUCUGAAUUUGUGGUCCUUGUACUGUUUUUUUCUUGUUCAGUUCUAGCUGAAGGAGUCAGGGUUAGUAGACAGACUUUGCUCAGACGAAAAUGGAACAAAGAAUCUUAGGGGCUGUUUGGAUUGAGCCGGAGCGUGCCCUGCCUUAGGUUGGUAAGGCAGGCGCCGGCGACGAACCAAACGCACCCUUAAUGUUUUUCUACAGUCCAAUCUUGUACUUCUUUUGAUUUACCUCUCAUUAUUUUUGUGCGCUCCAUGAUGCUCUCAGUUUGUUACCAAAUGAAACACUAACUUGCUAAUUUGGUUUUGUAUAAAACACCUCUACUUUGGUUUUGUCAGCUUGGACUGCCAUCAGGUAGGCAUGAAGCAGUGCUGACCUCACCGUCGAAGAAGAGGGGUGCUGGCCACCACUGGCAGCUAGCACUGGCUCGGGGGAGGAGGCCACCCAUGCGCUGGCUGACCACCACGGCGGCCGCAACCACAGAGCACAGAGAUGAUGGGACGCGCUGCACAAGAGACCUGCCUUCAUCGGCGGCGGCACGGACUUUGCCUGGCUGCCUACGCCUGUGUGAACCUUAGCCAAAUUAUAUUCCGUAGCAUUAAAAAAGCUGAUCACAGUACUAGUAUGAGUUAUGUAUCUGAAGUUUAGAUUCUGAAAGACUGUACCAAAUAAUAAUUCAGCUACUUCCUACUAGAUACUGAGUGAAGUGCAACAAAAUGAAUAUAUUUGGAAGACUUUAAUAGUCUGUGCCAAAGCAUGUACACUGAACAAAAUGAAUAUCAUUUCGUGUAUAUAUAAGAUAAGUCUGCAAGCUGCUGAUCAAUGCA
Long non-coding RNA from Lolium rigidum, 1270 nucleotides. RefSeq lists it as uncharacterized. The transcript has 2 exons. The record is from RefSeq and is a predicted model, not a curated record. NCBI's taxonomy places the organism in Eukaryota, Viridiplantae, Streptophyta, Magnoliopsida, Poales, Poaceae.